UGGCGGCGCGCCUAACACAUGCAAGUCGAACGAGAAAGUGGAGCAAUCCAUGAGUACAGUGGCGUACGGGUGAGUAACACGUGGGUAAUCUACCUCUUAGUGUGGAAUAACCCUGGGAAACCGGGGCUAAUACCGCAUAAGCUCGAGAGAGGAAAGCAGCAAUGCGCUGAGAGAGGAGCCCGCGGCCGAUUAGCUAGUUGGCAGGGUAAAGGCCUACCAAGGCAAAGAUCGGUAGCCGGCCUGAGAGGGCACACGGCCACACUGGCACUGAAACACGGGCCAGACUCCUACGGGAGGCAGCAGUGGGGAAUCUUGCACAAUGGGGGAAACCCUGAUGCAGCGACGCCGCGUGAGCGAUGAAGCCCUUCGGGGUGUAAAGCUCUUUCGGCAGGGAAGAUUAUGACGGUACCUGCAGAAGCAGCUGCGGCUAACUACGUGCCAGCAGCCGCGGUAAUACGUAGGCAGCAAGCGUUGUUCGGAGUUACUGGGCGUAAAG
Molecule: ribosomal RNA, 496 nt
Filed under: uncultured bacterium
Lineage: Bacteria
Description: bacterial SSU rRNA
Rfam family: Bacterial small subunit ribosomal RNA
Source: RNAcentral